UGAUUUGCCAAAAUAAAUGAAAAGUUAACAUAGGUUGAUGAACUGAGCAUAUUAUUAAAUUUUAGAAAAUGGCAUUCAAUAAUAAAUAUCUAUAACAAUUCAAUUUCAGAUUUUCAAAGUAUUUUUAGUUUCUAUAUGACAAAAAUAUGCACAUCUUCAUCCUAAGUCUGAUAUAUUCUCUGCUACUCUUUUGCUACUGCUUUCUUUAUCUUAACGUAGACUUCUAGUGGAUAUUUUCAUUCAGUAC
Molecule: long non-coding RNA, 247 nt
Filed under: Ananas comosus (pineapple)
Lineage: Eukaryota; Viridiplantae; Streptophyta; Magnoliopsida; Poales; Bromeliaceae
Description: long non-coding RNA (ACOM_LNC028968)
Source: RNAcentral